CAAUAGCGUAUAUUAAAGUUGUUGCAGUUAAAAAGCUCGUAGUUGGAUUUCUGGUGGGGCUGUCGGCCUGGCUCCGAAAGGGGUCGUGGUUUCGUUACACGCCUGGCCAUCCUCGGGGGAAGCUUUGCUGGCAUUAAGUUGUCGGCGGAGUGACGCUCGUCGUUUACUGUGAACAAAUUAGAGUGUUCAAAGCAGGCUUAGGCCGUUGAAUACAUUAGCAUGGAAUAAUGAGAUAGGACUUUGGUGGUCUAUUUUGUUGGUUUGCACGCCGAAGUAAUGAUUAAUAGGGGCGGUUGGGGGUAUUCGUAUUCAAUUGUCAGAGGUGAAAUUCUUGGAUUUAUGGAAGACGAACUACUGCGAAAGCAUUUACCAAGGAUGUUUUCAUUAA
This 388-nucleotide ribosomal RNA is filed under the name uncultured eukaryote. Its description in RNAcentral is "partial 18S ribosomal RNA". It matches the Rfam family "Eukaryotic small subunit ribosomal RNA", at positions 592 to 976 of the family's 1831-position model. The record is from RNAcentral.